CCGCUGCACAACACACAAGACGAUUGAUCCAGUCAAACAUUUGCACCACGUACGCCUUCCUCAUGAAGGCUAGUGAGUAGUAUGACUCGUUGACUCGUGUAGGUUCGUCGUGCGUGCAUGCAAAGUUUUGGAUAUAUGGAUCAUCCUCACCUGCCGGAUGGGAAGAUCUUGGGGCAGUGCUCGAGGUAGAAGUCGUUGAUGUCCUUGGCAGCAAAGAGCGGACGGCCGUCCUUGUUCGGCGCCGUGAGCAUGGCCGUCACCAGCCCGCCGGUGCUGGUCCCGGCGAUCACGUCGAAGUAGUCCGCCAGCCUCGCGUCCGGCCCGUCGAGCUCCUGCAGUCACGAAAUCCAUGCAUGGUCAGAGCUGGCCGGUACGGUGCAUCGGAGAGAGAACAGAGUUGUGUAUGAAUCAUCAUGAACCUGCAGCUUUUCCUCGAGGAAGCCGAGGAUGGUGCCCGGGAUGAUCCCGCGCACGCCACCGCCGUCGAUGCUCAGCACGGUGACGAUGCUCCCGUAGGCCGGCGGAGGCGACUUGGGCGUGCCCAGCGUCGACGUCGACGCGCCGCGGCUGAGCGCCCGCCGCGCCACCGGGUUCAGCGUCAGGCCGGAGCCGGAGCCGCUGGUGCCGGCGAGCUCCCCAGCAUACACCGGCGCCAUGGAAGACACGUACGAUCUACGACCUACGUACUUCGUUCACUCGAUCACCGAGUAAUCAACAAUCAGACAGACCAGACCUCAGUCACCUCACUAGCUCGGAGAAAGGAGAUGCUCGUUUGUGCUGUUGGCUAUUGAGCGAGUGUAUUCGUGCUAUGUAGCAGUAGCUGGGUCGAUGCAGGAGAAUUUAUAACCGAUGGAGAUCGAGCAGGGUUAAACGAUAACGAACGGGGCAACACGGGGGGUUUACUGAAUCAAAACUGGAGAUUUCGUCAGCAGAUACUAGCUAGGAGAUCGAGGUCGAAGUUCGUGAGUCCCCAAAGGAAAAUGGAUGAUGACGAGUCCGAAAGCUGCAUAUUUUGAACAAAUCAAAGAGUGAACACAGGGGAGGCAGCCGAUCAGCCGAGCACGUACUACGUACGCGGGGCCCUUUGAGAAGAUCCAGUCCGGUCGCCGUCGCGGUGUUGGCCUGGCGUGACGACGAUAGCUAGAUCGCAGGAAGGAAGGAUCGGGUCAAGGUCGCGCACGAGUGGAGUAGUGGAAACCGCGAUAUUUUUUUCUGGGCUUGCUCGGUGGAAAAGUCCAGUCCCGCUCCGCACUUCCGCUUCGGCGUGAUGGGCAGCAUGCAUGGGCCGGAAAACCUACUGUUUUCCGCGGCAGGCAGCCCAUCCAUUCGAUCGGUGCCACUUGCCAGGUUUGGCUGGCUUUUUCGCUUGCGCGAAUUGCGAUCGCGACUCCGACGUAGCUGAUUGCCACCACGUCGCCGGCCGGUGUAGAAGGACGGACGUAUGCGGGCGUGCGUACGUACGCGUAUCGAGGAAUUUCUACGCUGGGGAAGCGGCCGGAUCGGAAGUCUCGCUCGUACGUGCCUUGUUUCGCAGCGCGUUGUUGGGACGACGAAAUACUAGUUGAUUGUUGGUUCAGAUCGAUGACGCAUGACUCGUGUAAGUGUGUGACUGUUUGGCAGGAAGAGAUUCAAGCUUGGCAGGCACCGCCCUACGUAACGUACUCCACACAUUUGUGUUCUGACCGUUGAUUUUUCACUUGUCACACAUAGGUACUGGACCAAGGAACAGGAGACCAACUUAGGGAAGAAAGGACGACCGGGACAGAAAUGACAAGUGUCAAGUGCGGUUUCUACACUCAAUUGGCCGUGCACUAUUCUAUCUUAUCUCUUUACUCUUUCUAAUUGGGUAAAGGACCAUUGGAAGAAAGCACCGUACGUGUUGAUCUUUCCAAUUUUCUAGUCCAAACACUCUCAAAAAAAAAAAAUCUAGUUCAAACGAGAGAAACCUCAAAGUUUUAUUUUUUCUAAAUUCACUGCCUCUCUGUUAUAAUAAAAAUAAAUAAUAUCCUAUGAUUUAAUUUCCCAAUUUUUUUAUUAUGAAAUACAAUAUAUAUCAACUCUCGACAUUUGGUACUGUAUUUUGACAUUUUUAGAUAUACGUUUUUUACUAUAUAUAUAUAAUGUAUAAAUAAAGUAUGUAGUACAAUCUAUAUCUACAAAAGCUAAAACAUUAUAUAUAUAUAUAUAUAUAUAUAUAUAUAUAUAUAUAUAUAUAUAUAUAUAUAUAUAUAUAUAUAUAUAUAUAUAUAUAUAUAUAUAUAUAUAUAUGUAUAUAUAUAUAGUAGAAGUAAUAUAUUUAAAAAACAAAACAUCUUACCAGUAUCAGUGGGGGUUUUAUGUUGCUGUUUUCAAGUCUCUCAUAUGCUAGAAACAGUCUAGACAAGUUUCUUCCACAUGAAACUUUCAUCAUAUCUCUCUUCAUCUAUUACUAUACCAUAUUAUCUUAUUUAAUGUACUAUUCUCACAAAACCUCCACUAAGACUGACUUUAUAAUUUGAAUCGGAGAAAUGCACUACGGUUUGAAGGCACCCAAUUGUCAACGUCGUUAGCCCCCUUGUUUUGCUUUAUUCAGCUGUGUCGUGCAUGGUUCAUGCAUGCCUUGCCACUUGACUGCUUCAUUUUUAUAUAUAUGGGGAGGCUUGUGAUUAGCACUAGCUAGUCGCCUGCUCGCUUAGCCGAAAGUCUGUCCGUGAGCAUUGCAUUGUUUUAUACAGAGAACCCGGCCCCUUUUGCUACUAUAAUUUAUCUCAGCAGUUCGCAGAACAUUCCAUCGUGUUUUGCCAAGCCUAACAUUCUACGCACGUCCCACAUGUUUCUAUUUUUCGAAACAUAAAAAAAAAACUCGAUCUACGCACAUCGAUCACAUCCAGCUCCAUCACGUGAAAGUUCAACGGGAUGCUGCAGUGCAGCUGGUGCAGAGAGAAAAUUAAAAAGGUAGCCAUCAUGUACAGCUAACGAUGAUGUUGAGUACGUAAUUAAGUUUAGUACGUAGUAUAUAUCAAUCGAUCGUGCCAUCAGUAGGGUAUCAAAUUCAAAGACAAACAUGGACCAGCACUAUUAAACGUUGCAUCGUUGUGACAAGUCAGAUGUACGCAGCUAGCUUUGCUUUCUUAAACAAAAGGAUAUACGCAUACAGGUUCAGAACAAGAUAUGAUCAUUGUAGAAAUAUAAUCUCUCUUCAAAUACUCUUCCUCCCGGUGCUUUUAAUUAAAUCCCUCCGUUUCUGAAUAGGGUAGAACAUUUGUGACUUCACUAUACGCAUUUCCUAGACCGGAAACUAUGCGUGUGGGCGACUUGGAUAAUUGUCACGUUGUCGUUUUACAUAUACCACCACGUACACUUCAAGAUAAGAAUGGAUAUAUAUAUAAAUAUUUUUCACAAAUCAAACAGGACCAAGGUUUGCAUAGUCCAUAAUCAAUAGCGUGGACAUGUGUUAAAAACGACUAGUAGUAUAUAAAAAUUAAAGAGUACGCCACCUUUAAUUUUCCAGCAUAUGACACGGUUAUUAUGCUAAGUUGAUUCCGUGGACUACCUUUAGAUUUGUGAUGACUAAUCGGUGGUUUGAAAGUUUCUGAUGAUAUGCAUCACUGUCGUUCGGCAAGUAACAUUUUACUCUGCAGCAAUUUUAAUAUGGUACCGAGACUUUAUUUUUAGGACCUAGUCACUAAAAUACCAAAUACCUCCCUCUAAAAGAGUCACUAAAGUUUAGUGGCUUUAGUAGAUAAGGGGCUACUAAAAGUGACUAAAGUGCAAACAUGGCCUGUUUGGUUUACCCCCACUAAAGUUUAGUGCUUGCAUUAAUUAAGGGUAAUAUGGUCUUUGUUUAGUGCUUUAGUGGUCUUUAGUGAAUAGAACCAAACAGGGUGCUAUUAAACUUUAGUGGGGUCACUAAACUUUAGUUUGAUCACUUUAGUUAUACGAUGUUUGGCAAACUAUGCUGAUAGACACCGCACAAAUAUCUAAUAUGUUGAUGGACAUCACUAACUCUAAAAUAUACUUAGUACCAUUAUAAAAUUAUAAUUCUUUGCUAUUAGACACCGCACCUAUUAAAAUAUUUAUUUUUGUCAUUCCCAAGAUAGCAAGGACAAUUAAUAGACCAAAUUUCCCCUUGAUUCAUCGUCCACCUCUGUCCGUUAUCCAAUAAUGGCUGAGGGCUGUCCGUGUGGAGGGUUUGGGGUAAAGUUGAGCAUGCAGCCCGCGGACCAAAGGCACGGCCUAAAGCACGGUGAUUUGGCCCGGCCCGAGCAUUGCACGGCCUGAUCCUAACUAGGCUCGGGCCGACCCGAAACACGUAGCGGGCUAUGCUUAGGCCGACCCCUCGGCCCGCUGGGCGGCACGACACGGCCCGCUUAUAACAAUAGGCACGGAAAUGGCCCGGUAUCAGGGAAUUUGUGAAACUUGAAGUAUCAGGUUCUGUGACUUAUGAAACUUGUGACUUUUGGUAAGUGAAAUAUGAUCUGAGAGUAUAUUGUGUUAUGUGAAUUGUGAAGUAUUAAUAUAUGUGACUUGAAUGCAAUGUACUUAUGCUUUGUUAAAUUCUGUAUUAAAUUUGGUGUUUUCAUAUAGCAUGGCUCAUGGGCCGACCCGAAGGACUAUUGGGCCUCGUGCUUUUCGGCCCGGUCCGAUCGGCCCAUAGGCCGUGCCUGGGCCGUCAGGCAGGCAAGGUGGCCUGUGGAGGCACGCGGGCCUUACGGGGCCGGGCUGGGCCGGCCCGUUGCUCAUAUUUAGUUUGGGCGGCUCCGAUUAGGCUGAGCCGGCAACACGAUAGCGUCGGGUGCUCGCUAGCCUACAGAGCUACCAGUCGUCGUGCACAACCGCUUCCUCCAUUUCUGUUGCGUUGCCUGACAUGUAGUCGUAAAUGCUUCAAACAAUGUACACGACAAGAGUGGAUGCAACAAUAGUGGUAGCAAUAGGAGCAAAUGCGAGGCAAAGCACUGAUGCGAGGUAAAGUACACAGUGUACUAUGUGGCUCGUUGCGCAGGAGCCAAUGCUCGAUGGGUUGGUGAAGCUCACCAGAAAUGGUGGAAUUUUUCUAGUAUUUUUAAGUAGUAAUAAAAUACUAUCAUUAGUCAUUAGUCAUAGCACAUGAGAAUCCUUAUUAGAAGGCAUUUGGUAGUGAAUAUUUGUACUAAACGUUGAAUGCUAAAACAUUAGGACAACCCUAAAUCCCUAAAAGAAGUGGAGAUUUUUGUUUGUGCUAGUGUGAUAUGAUGAGUCAAUGUGUGUGUGAUGUGUUAGGUAUCGACAUGUCAUACGUUGAGACUCUGUAUACAACUGUUGCAGUAUAUAUAUAUCAGAACAGCUAGCGCCCGGAUGUCCGACGCCCGCAACGCGUCUGGACGCUGAGCCCCCAACCUGCGCCACACGGAGAAAAAAAAGAAAAGUAAACCCCAUCCAUCUGUAAUCAACUCGUCCCUGCCCCACUUGCCCCACACGGAAGACUAUCCUUUGUCCGCUCCAUCCUAACCAACUUGCCUCUGCCCACUCACCCUGCACAGAGGACCGCCCUACGUCUGUUCCCCGCGCAAGGAACCCGCCCCCACCCCCAUGAGCAUGGGAUCCGCCCUGCCCCUCGCCUUGUGAAAGGUCCUAAUAUGGCUAGAGGGGGGAGGUGAAUAGCCUAUUUAAAAAUUCUACAAACUCACUAGAUUAAGAGGUUAGUAAAUAACAAAGUGAAGCUUUUUGCUCUAGCUCUAAUGGGGUGUUUGCAAGCCACCUAUCUAACAAUUCUAGUUGAUAUAAAUACUAGGCACACAAGAGCUAUGUCACCACAAGCUACACUAGUGAACUAUGCUACACAAGGCAAGACUAGCAACUAGACUAGUUACACUACUUUGCGGUAAGUAAAUGGAAAGGAAGAGAUAUUUAUACCGCCUUGUAGGGAAUGAACCAAUCACCAAUAUAUGAACAAUCAAGCACUGUGAGAAUACCAAUCAAACACAAUUGAGACACCGAUUUUUUCUCCCGAGGUUCACGUGCUUGCCGGCACGCUACGUCCCUGUUGUGUCGACCAACACUUGGUGGUUCGGCGGCUAAGAGGUGUAGCAUGAACCUCAUCCUUACUAGGACACCACAAGAACCUACCCACAAGUGAGGUAGCUCAAUGACAUGAGCAAUCCUAUAAUGUUGCCUUUGGCUCUCCGCCGGGGUAGGCACAAAACCCCUCAGAAUCACCGGGACAUGGCCACGAACAAUCACCAACUCGUGCCAAUGCUCCUCCGCUACUCCAAGCCAUCUAGGUGGCGGCAACCACCAAGAGUAACAAGAAAACCGCAGUCAAAUCGAUCCCCAAGUGCCACUAGAUGCAAUCACUCAAGCAAAUGCACUUGAAAUCACUCCCAAUCUCACAAAGAUGUUUGAUCUAUGAAGGAGAUGAGUGGAAGGUGUUUGCUUAGGCUCAAAAGGAUGUCAAGUAUGCUAGAAUGCCAAGAGAGUGAGCCCCAAGCCGACCAACAACUAUUUAUAAGCUCCUCAAACAAAUAGAGUCAUUGGCUCUUUUACUAGGCUGAAAACAGGACCACCAGACUCGCUGCAAGUGAGGCACCAGACUCUAGAACAGAGCAUCCGGUGCUCCAGAAAUAGCCACGUGUUAGCUCUUUGAAUCUCACGUGUCGAACUCUAACGGUCACCUGCAAACCACCGGACGCGGUCAAGUGAGCACCGGACGCGUCCGAUGCGCACCGGUCACGUAUGCAGAGAGGUUUGCAAAAAUGCAGGAGCACUGGACUCACUCCUGAGCGUCUGGUCCCUUACUCAGAGAGCGCUGCAAACGCGCAAGGACACCAGAUUCUCACCACCGGACUCACUCCGAGCGUCCGGUGCUCUCAGUCAAUCUCACUGCUGAAGUCAAGCUACACCGGACGCAUAUACAGGGUCUAGCCCACGUUCGGUGCUUGGCGUCCGGUGCACAACCCUAACAACGCCAGAGAAAGUCAACAUAUUCGCUUGCCGCUAACUCGUUCGGUGCCUGCGGUCAGAGCGUCCGGUGAGUGCUUUUCGGUGAGGAACACUCCGACGACUUUCUCCAAACUUUCCACCGGCGCAAUAGAAAAUAUGCAUUUUAUUUUCUCAAAAGCGUCGCAUCCCAAGAGGAACCCAAACCCCUCUCUACCCUUCAACUUCCACCUCCUUCUUAAGUGUGCUAACACCACCAUGUGUGUACCAACAUGUGCAACUAUGUUAGCAUUUUUACAAACAUUUUCUUCGAAGGAGUUAAAUUAGCUCACUAGGUUCGAAAUGCAUGUACAUGAACAAUGACAACUAGUGGCACUUGAUAACCGCUUAGCCAAAGAAUUCCCCUCUUUAGUACGACUAUCUAUCCUAAACGUGAUGACACAAUCUAUGGUAUCUUGAUCACCAAAACCAAAAACCUAAUUAAGCAAUACUUUUGCUUUGAUCUCCAUAGGGUUUUGUUUUUCUCUUUCUUCUUUUCCAAGUUGAGCACUUGAUCAUCUUGUGGUCAUCACGAUUAUCAACAUGAUCAUCUCUUGCUCCAUCACUUGGCAUGUACCAACCUCACUAAGUCUACACACACUUAGUAUAGAGGUUAGUACUAGGGUUUCAUCAAUUAUCCAAAACCAAACUAGGGCUUUCACCUUGCCGGCCCCUAGCAGAUUCGCUUGCCGCUAACUCGUCCCCACAGCCCGUCCCCAUAUACUUGACGCUGCAACACAAUACGUAUGAUAGUGCAACAACACCAAAUAUAAUGCUGCAACAAUAGGUUGAAGUAGCUGAAACACCAUAAAUAUAGUAUUACAACAAACAAUGAACAACUGCUGCAACAGCAUACAAACAACUACUACAACAUACAAAUUGAAGUAUUAGAUGUAACAGCUGAAAACACCAUGAACAUAGUAUUACAACGAUAACGAACGACUAUUGUAACAACAUGUAUCAACUAAUACAACAACAUAGAUUGAAGCAUUAGAUGGAGCAACCAAAACACCAUAGAUAUAGUAUUACAAUAACACCAAACAACUGUUGCAACAACUAAUACAACAUUGCAAAUUGAAGCAUUAGAUAGAGCAACUGAAACACCAUGGAUAUAGUACUACAACAACACUGAAACAACAUCUCAAAACACAGUACUGCAACAACGGCUAAAACCUACUGCAACGUCUAGAGAGAACCAUUGCAACAAUAACGAGAUUUGAACCUGAGAGCUCACUGAAACCCUAUCCUACUGCAACAUAACCUGAAAAGAUACCACAAACCACCAUUGCAACACGCGUGAGCACUGAACCCCAAGAGUUCACUGGAACCCUAGCCACCACAACAUCCUGUAGAUCUAGACCCAGAGGAAGAGGAGAAGGACGAGGAGGAGCAAAAGCUGGAAGAGGUGGAGGAGGAGUAGAGGAGGCCUCAGAUCCAGAUCCACAAGAGGAGGGAGGGGAAAUGGAGAGAGAGGCCUCAGAUCCAAAUUCCUCCACACCUACUUCGUUAGAGACGCGCUGUCGUCUGCAUCUUGAGAUGCAUGGAGGUCGUGAGAGCGAGGGAGAGAGAGAGAGCAGGGAGGAAGGGAGGCACGCCGCUCACUGGAAGUUGCCGCCAUCGCGCUCCACUCCGGUGGCAUAGAGGGCGCGUGGGUUGCAGCGGGGAGGGAGGGAGGAAAGGAGGGAGGAGCGGCUUGCUGGUGGCGCGGCAUAAAGUGCAGGCGCAUGUGCGAGCGGCAGGAGCGGCAGCAAGAUGAGAGGGAAGAGUGGAGAUGAAAAUGAGGAGUGGAUAAGAAGGCAUGGAGGAGCAGUGAAAUGAGUGGAUAGGAGCGUUCGGACGGAUGGAUGUCUGGUGUAUAUCAUUACUGUAUAUAUAUGGGCUAUAUAGAAAAAAAUUCAGUAGGUGGAGGGUCAAGGUUGUUCCUUGUGAACAGGAACAAUUACUUUUUACUCUUAACUAAAUAAAAUCAAAUUACUUCAUUAUUACUCUAACUAAAUAAAGUUAACAAGCAAAAUAUUUUACACACAUCAGACGACCAGAAUUAAUCAGAGGCUUAGCUGCUUAUAGGUACUCAAGUCAAAAGUACAUGAUAGUACCCAUCAACCAAUACAAAAGAACUCAUAUAAAUAAGAUAGUCCGUGUUGGAGGCAGAUUUGGUGGAGUAGCGUGUAAAUAGACAAAUUAUGCAAGCUGUACAUUGUGCAUCAUGAUAGGAUAGACACUUUAGAAGAACUAACUGAAGAGGAUACACAGAACGAAUGAAAUGCAGAACACAUGCGGCUUAUUAGGGAGCUAUCAUGUAGUACACUUUUUGAACACAUAUUUGACACAAGUAUCAUCCGGGCGGCCUCUAUAUCUCCAGGUUUAAUUAGAUUGUGUUGUCACCCUUUCUCUGGAUCCUAGCCCGGCGCUCGCGUACCAGCAUCUUGGCGAAACGGAUGAGUUCAUCCUCAUUGGUGCCCCUUUUGACGUCGGGCUCGUUCUUGCCUGUCUCGAUGUUCACCUUGCACGCCGGCUUCUUCAGCAGCCCCUUGCCGACGUCGACGAGGCGGUUCAGGUUCUCCAUGGUGGACACGUCGACGGACGACGUUUCUCCGGUGAGCUCGUCGUCCUGGAUCCGGAGGUACUGCCUCUCCGAGUGCAGCGCCUGGAAGAGCACGGAGGCGUGGAUGUCGACGAGGUCGGCGCUGGCCUGGCUGAAGCUGUCGAUGAUCGGCGUGGUGUCCUUGUUGCUGAGCCACCCCAGAAGACCCCACUUGCUGGACUGCACGGCGUCGAACUUCUCCUCCGCCUUGGCGGUGCCGGUGCCCAGCGACAGCACCAUGAACUUGCCGUAGUCCGCUGGCUUGAUCGGGAAGAAGUCCUGGUUGCCCAGCAGGAUCUGCUUGCUCACGUCCGUCAUCGCCAGCAGCGUCUGCAAAAUUUGUCAAGUUUGGUGCACGUUUCGUCAGCUUAUACUAGCCUCGAUUGGUAACAGUUCAUAGAGAAGUCAACUCAACAUUAAACGGUUGGUAAUCCACUUGUUUUUAUUUACUACAUGCCGUUGACAGUACUCUACUGCAAAUUAAAUUAAUUUGUCAAGUUUGGUGCACAUUUUCUUAUCUAGCUAGCUAGUACUAGCUAUAGCUAAGUGUUAAUUUACUCGUCACCUAGUGUUUGUACGUUGCCGUUAGCACGUCAGUUGUGUGUGGUCAAUAAUCACAAUUAAUCAGUCACUCACAGGAUUGUUUGCAGCGACGCCUCCGUCGAUGAGGUUGAAGGCCCGGGGCUUGCCAUCCUUGUCCUUGGUCUCGAACUGGUGUCCUGGGAGGUACGUCGGCGCGGCGGACGUGCUGAUGCACACGUCCGAGAGCAGAGCGUCCUUGGAGACAUCGUUAAUGGCCUGCGUGCGUAAGUCACCGGAGCGUUAUUAGCACGGUGAAAUUAAGGUUCAAACCAUCGUUAUCAAGUGUAGUUAACUUCUGCAAUGGACUUAUGGACGUCGUCGUACAUCGUAUUUGGAGAACACGGUGGGCUGCAUGAGCUUGAUGUCGAAGGUCGGGAUGACGAUGUUCUGGAGCGCCUGGCUGACCUUCGUCUCGCCGAGGAGCUCCCGGACGAGGGAGUGGAGGUACUUGCCGUCGUACUUGGGCCCCGACAACUUCUUGAACAACCCUAGAGGACCGCCGCUGCUGUUUGGUGGGAAGAUCUUGGGGCAGUUCUUGAGGUAGAAGUCGUUGAUGUCCUUGGCGGCAAAGAGCGGCCGGCCCUCCUU
This 10687-nucleotide long non-coding RNA is filed under the name Sorghum bicolor (sorghum). RNAcentral describes it as "long non-coding RNA (SBIC_LNC013290)". The record is from RNAcentral. Lineage: Eukaryota; Viridiplantae; Streptophyta; Magnoliopsida; Poales; Poaceae.